AUGGCUCCACACCUAACUCCUUUCACACGGGCAUCUACCAUGACAAAUCCACGACAGUUGGCGCCCAUGGGGCCAGAGCACAGUGGUUUCGAGUUCUUGAAGGGCAAUUUCCCAGGGAUCAAGGGAUACGCUGUGGGCCGGAUGACUAAGAGUCACCACGGCAAGAUCUACAUCGACAACGCUGGCUGGGGCCCUGAGGCCGACUCAAUUGAGUACGGGUACCGGGUCCCCUUUGGCGGGAUUCACGUCUUCAUCGGCAAGAUCGGCGAGUCAGAGCCUGAGCUGGACAUCUGCAUCGACAUCAUCUAG
Molecule: ribosomal RNA, 309 nt
Filed under: Triticum aestivum (bread wheat)
Lineage: Eukaryota; Viridiplantae; Streptophyta; Magnoliopsida; Poales; Poaceae
Description: partial small subunit ribosomal RNA
Source: RNAcentral